UGGGGAAUUUUGGACAAUGGGGGAAACCCUGAUCCAGCCAUCCCGCGUGUGCGAUGAAGGCCUUCGGGUUGUAAAGCACUUUUGGCAGGAAAGAAACGUCAUGGGUUAAUACCCCGUGAAACUGACGGUACCAGCAGAAUAAGCACCGGCUAACUACGUGCCAGCAGCCGCGGUAAUACGUAGGGUGCAAGCGUUAAUCGGAAUUACUGGGCGUAAAGCGUGCGCAGGCGGUUCGGAAAGAAAGAUGUGAAAUCCCAGAGCUCAACUUUGGAACUGCAUUUUUAACUACCGGGCUAGAGUGUGUCAGAGGGAGGUGGAAUUCCGCGUGUAGCAGUUAAAUGCGUAGAUAUGCGGAGGAACACCGAUGGCGAAGGCAGCCUCCUGGGAUAACACUGACGCUCAUGCACGAAAGCGUGGGGAGCAAACAGG
Molecule: ribosomal RNA, 429 nt
Filed under: Acidobacteriota bacterium
Lineage: Bacteria; Pseudomonadati; Acidobacteriota
Description: Acidobacteria bacterium partial 16S ribosomal RNA
Rfam family: Bacterial small subunit ribosomal RNA
Source: RNAcentral